GAUGAACGCUAGCGGCAGGCCUAACACAUGCAAGUCGAGGGGCAGCACGUCUUCGGAUGGUGGCGACCGGCGCACGGGUGCGUAACGCGUAUGCAACCUACCUCUUACAGUGGGAUAGCCCAGAGAAAUUUGGAUUAAUACCGCAUAGUAUACAGAUUCAGCAUUUGGGACUGUAUUAAACAUUUAUGGGUAAGAGAUGGGCAUGCGUUCUAUUAGUUAGUUGGAGUGGUAACGGCACCCCAAGACAGCGAUAGAUAGGGGCCCUGAGAGGGGGAUCCCCCGACACUGGUACUGAGACACGGACCAGAC
This 309-nucleotide ribosomal RNA is filed under the name uncultured bacterium. Its description in RNAcentral is "bacterial SSU rRNA". It matches the Rfam family "Bacterial small subunit ribosomal RNA", at positions 28 to 336 of the family's 1533-position model. The record is from RNAcentral.